GAUGAACGCUGGCGGCGUGCCUAAUACAUGCAAGUCGAGCGAACGGACGAGAAGCUUGCUUUUCUGAUGUUAGCGGCGGACGGGUGAGUAACACGUGGAUAACCUACCUAUUAGACUGGGAUAACUUCGGGAAACCGGAGCUAAUACCGGCUAAUAUUUUGAACCGCAUGGUUCAAAAGUGAAAGACGGUCUUGCUGUCACUUAUAGAUGGAUCCGCGCUGCAUUAGCUAGUUGGUAAGGUAACGGCUUACCAAGGCAACGAUGCAUAGCCGACCUGAGAGGGGGAUCGGCCACACUGGAACUGGGACACGGUCCGAACUCCUACGGGAGGCGGCGGUGGGAAAUCUUCCGCAAUGGGCGAAAGCCUGACGGGGCAUCGCGGCUGGGGUGAUGAGGGUCUUCGGAUCGUAAAACUCUGUUAUUAGGAAAAAACAUAUGGUAAGAAUCUGUGAACGUCUUGACGGUACCUAAUGAGAAAGCCACGGCUAACUACGUG
RNAcentral lists this ribosomal RNA (496 nucleotides) under uncultured bacterium. RNAcentral describes it as "partial 16S ribosomal RNA". It matches the Rfam family "Bacterial small subunit ribosomal RNA", at positions 28 to 507 of the family's 1533-position model. The record is from RNAcentral.